This 231-nucleotide long non-coding RNA is filed under the name Phaseolus vulgaris (common bean). RNAcentral's name for it is "long non-coding RNA (PVUL_LNC003636)". The record is from RNAcentral. Lineage: Eukaryota; Viridiplantae; Streptophyta; Magnoliopsida; Fabales; Fabaceae.
CAGAAUUAAUCACUUCAAUGCAGCAUCUUCCAUUCGCUCCUUUUUGGACUUUGGCUUCCCCCUGUUUGCUCCUUUUAAGCUCACUUUUAUCAGAAACCAACUUCCUACUUGCCAGGGUCCAUCUCGCACUUAGAUUGGUUGGAGUUUACAACUUCGACUUACAUCCCCCAACAUGUCUGAAUCCCCACCACAACCUCUACUGCUACCAUCCACAUGUGAGAUCACUAGUUG